AAAAAAAGUAGCGUAAAAGAAAAAAAAUACAGCAAAUCUGAACGGAAAUACCGUAAAAAAAACUCAAAAUUUGGUAACUCAUAUUCAUAAAUAUUUUAUGGGGCUAAUUUGGUUCGUUGGUCCUCAAAUUAAAUAUAAAAAAAAAAAAAAAAAAUUGAUAAAGGAAAAUAAUGGAUUGUAAUAAUCAAAAUAUAAAAUUUGAUGGAGAAUUGAUUCUAGUUAAUUUAAAAGUUAGGAAUUGUAACUUCAUCCAAAAUUGCUUUUGGAAGGUAGAAGCAAUUCUGAAAAUUCAAUUUUCACUUUUGAGGUGUUGUAGAAGUGCUUCUUGUUGGAAAGAAGCCAAACCAAACACACACUUAGAAGAGGCCACUCUCUGUGGACGUGGGAACCGUAUCUGCGGCAUGGUUCUGCAAAAAGGGGUGGUGGUAAGACUAUGUUACGUUAUCAAUUCUCAUUCUCAUAUUGGGAGAAUGGAUCAAUUCUAGAAAUAGAGUAUUUUCAUUGGUGGGGGUGUUGGUGUUGUUGCAGAGUGAGAAAAUAGAGGGGGAGGUCUCAAGGGACGUUAGAGUAAUUUUUGCUAAGUUGUAUUUAAAACAGAGGAUGAUUCCCUUUCUUAAAAUAUGUGAAGUAUACAUACAAGUAAAAGAAGAAGAAAAAAACAUGGCAAUGUUUAUGUAUGGAGCUUGGCUACUUGCAAGAUGAUUGAUAAUUGACGAUAGACUGAUAGAUAGAGAACAGCCUUCAAUCACAUGAAAAUUCUCCACACCCUUGUAGUUGCUUCUCCCCUAAUUAAUCAUUAGUUGAGAGACACAGCUUAUAUACAUUUAAAUUUUUCUACACUCCAAGAUAAUCAGGCCUUUCCUUUCCAACUGAACCAAAGAUGAGAAAUUUUUCUUACCCACCCACUUCCAAUAGAACUUAAUUACUCAUGGUCGCUAAUUUCUUGCUUCUUUAUUGGUACAUAGCAUGUAGUAUUACUAUUACCACUCAUUGUAGCUUUACGUUCAAAAUACUGACGUGGCAUAUUCUAAAAUCUAAAUGUGUAGGAGUGAGUUUGUGAUCUCACUAUGAAAUGUGAUAUGUUGUUGACUAUCAAUGCUCAUCAAUAUUUCUACUCUAACAGACCCCUUAGCAUCAAAACUCCAUUGUUUUCUUUGUUUCUCAAAUGCCAUCCAUCCAUUCCAAAGAUAACCAAAUUACGACUAACACUGCCAAGUUGUUCCCCGACUUCUUCAAAGUCUUCCUCAUAGAGAAGCAUUAUGAGAGAAUGCUUAUCCCAAUUGCUUUUGUGAAGCUCAUGCUUUCGAAACAAAGGGUAUUGAAAUAUUUUAUCCUAAGGGAUCAUAGAGGAACAGAUUGGCAUGUCAAAGCACGUUCUAUUGGUCGCAAGCUUUAUUUUGAUGAUGGUUGGAAACUAUUCAGAGAAGAAAAUUCUUUAGAGGACAAUGACUUCCUUGUUUUCAGACAUAUUGAAAACAAUGUAUUCAAGUUCAAAAUUUAUGAACUAUCAUCAAUGUGUAAAAAGAUGAAGGUAAUGGAUGGGGAGGAAAAUAAUAAUAUGUUGGAGGAUGAGGAAGAUGAUGAUGAUGGUGAAGAUGAUGAUGAUGACGAACGACGAUUAUACAAUGGUAGAGGAAGAAGAAGAGGAAAAAGAUGAAGGUGAUGGUGAUGGUGAUGAUGAAGACGAUGGGGAUGCUGAUGAUGAUGUGCAUAUAAUAAUGAAAGAAAAAAGAAUAAAGGAGUUGACAAGGGAAUCAGUAGAAGCUGUGAACAUCAACAUUGUAGAACCUGCAAAGCAUGGAGCAUUGGAAGCAGCUCUGCAGCUCCAAAACAUGAAGAUGAUGAAAUUGAUGUUGAAAUGUAUAUUCAGCCAGGAAAUCCUUACUUCUAUGCAAAACACUACAGACCCAACGAAUUGGUUUAGUUCUUUAUAUACUCUACUUCGAUUUUGUGCUUUGUCAUUUCUUUGAUGUGUAUAUGCAUUGUUUUUUUGUAACAUCGGAGCAUUGUUAGAUGAGUAAUUAGCUCAUUUUUCUUAAGCUUAGGGUGAGGAACUAGUCUUAUUUCUUUUAACCUCUAUUUUGUGACCCUAAACAAACUUUUACAACUAUUACAUGUUUUCCUUCCUUCAUGUGCUUAUGGUAUCACUCUUGGCUUUUGUAGUAUAUUUUAAAGAAUGUCGUUAAGGAUUUCUGCCUUUGCUUUACAAAGCAUAUCAGCCUUGUAUGUUGCCACUGCAAGGAUGUUCGAGGUAAUGAAAUAGCAGCCUGUCAUCACAUAUUGGCACAAAUCAACACAACACAUAUCGAAAAGAGAGGAGAAAUACGUAAAUGGAAAGAUGGUCGAGUCUUUGAGCUAGGGUGGGCAGAUUUUUGUAGAAAGAGCAAGAUUACAGAAAAUGAUAGAUGCUUGUGUGAAGUUGUGUUGCAUGGAGGCAAAUCAAUUGAAAUGCUUAGGGUGCACGUUAUUAGGAACGAAUGAGUCAAGCAGCAAAAGUACUUCUAUUAACUUGAAACUUGUUUAUUUGUAAAAUAUUUUUAUGAAGGGUGUUUUUAUAACUUUCUUAUGGAACAGUUUCUGCCAUGACUAUGAUGACCACUUUUAUCUAUGCCUCAUUGGAUAAUAUUAUUUAGUUUCAACUAUUGCAGAAUCAUUUCUCUGAUUUUACAUUGGAAGAUUGCAAUGCACAAUGGUUGAAAUGUUAUUGCUAAUUGUUGAUCAGAAUUGAAUUUGAAAACCUUCAUUAGGUUAAAGUCA
Medicago truncatula (barrel medic) is the source of this 2757-nucleotide RNA transcript. RefSeq lists it as uncharacterized. Lineage: Eukaryota; Viridiplantae; Streptophyta; Magnoliopsida; Fabales; Fabaceae. The transcript has 5 exons. The record is from RefSeq and is a predicted model, not a curated record.